CAUAAGGAACAUAAAUAUGCCAUCCAUUCAUUUGUUUGCAUCUCACAUCAUGCCGUUCUGUUAUAGUUUGCAUCGCACCUAAUAAAUAAACGCGGAGUAUUUUGGAAUUACCGGAUAAGAAUUCCCCGCUCCGUUUAAUACUGAAAUAGCACACCUCUGCCAUGUUGUGCCAUGCUAUUCAACCUUUAACCUUGCCGGUAGAAAUGCAACUUCAACCUAAUUUGUUUGUCCGGGGUUUCCGACUCCGCUUAAAUUGGAUAAGUUGCAUCGCCGCAUCAUGUUUGCCAUGCCAUGCAUAUCAUAUCAUGAUCAUGCCGAUUCUUUUGCCGUAGUAGUAAGAUGUGCAUCCGUUGAUUGUCGUAGCGAUUUGCUUCUUCCCGGAUAGGAUCGCGAAGUGGUGUGGUGAGAUACGACAAGUUCUCCGGAUGUCCCUCGGCAAGUAUGAAGAUAUGUUCGAUGAAGAUGACGCUAGCAAGGUUACCCUUCCGGCUUGGCCUGGGCAGGGUUAUGGACGCCACUGGUUAUCUUCAGGACUCUUAGUCCAAUUUGUAUCUUGUCCGUACUCGGAUGUAUUUGAUCUUCUGUAUGAUUUGGAUCUUUGUAUGUAUCUAUUUGUAUCUUGACUCGUUGGAGUCGUUGUUGUAAUAUAUCUGUAUCUUGUGGGCUCUA
Molecule: non-coding RNA, 669 nt
Organism: Lolium perenne
Lineage: Eukaryota; Viridiplantae; Streptophyta; Magnoliopsida; Poales; Poaceae
Source: RefSeq, a predicted model, not a curated record